CAGCCGCCGCGGUAAUACGUAGGGGGCAAGCGUUAUCCGGAUUUACUGGGUGUAAAGGGAGCGCAGACGGCAGUGCAAGUCUGAAGUGAAAGGCGUGGGCUCAACCCAUGAACUGCUUUGGAAACUGUAUAGCUUGAGUGUCGGAGGGGUAAGCGGAAUUCCUAGUGUAGCGGUGAAAUGCGUAGAUAUUAGGAGGAACACCGGAGGCGAAGGCGGCUUACUGGACGACAACUGACGUUGAGGCUCGAAGGCGUGGGGAGCAAACAGGAUUAGAUACCCCUGUAGUCCCUGUCUUUAUACA
Molecule: ribosomal RNA, 301 nt
Filed under: uncultured bacterium
Lineage: Bacteria
Description: partial 16S ribosomal RNA
Rfam family: Bacterial small subunit ribosomal RNA
Source: RNAcentral